This 86-nucleotide transfer RNA is filed under the name Bermanella sp. RNAcentral's name for it is "tRNA-Ser". It matches the Rfam family "tRNA". Rfam says of the family: Transfer RNA (tRNA) molecules are approximately 80 nucleotides in length. Their secondary structure includes four short double-helical elements and three loops (D, anti-codon, and T loops). The record is from RNAcentral. RNAcentral also lists the same sequence under 11 other names. Lineage: Bacteria; Pseudomonadati; Pseudomonadota; Gammaproteobacteria; Oceanospirillales; Oceanospirillaceae.
GCCGAGAUCGCAUAGCCUGGUAUUGCGCAAGACUGGAAAUCUUGUGGGAUUUUCCCUCGGGAGUUCAAAUCUCCCUCUCGGCGCCA